This 73-nucleotide transfer RNA is filed under the name Felis catus (domestic cat). It matches the Rfam family "tRNA". Rfam says of the family: Transfer RNA (tRNA) molecules are approximately 80 nucleotides in length. Lineage: Eukaryota; Metazoa; Chordata; Mammalia; Carnivora; Felidae. RNAcentral also lists the same sequence under 4 other names. The record is from Rfam by way of RNAcentral.
GCCUGGCUGGUUCAGUCGGUAGAGUGUGUGACUCUUGAUCACAGGGUCGAGAGUUCAAGCCCCACCUUGGGUG